CCGGGGCAAACAAACGUUUUCAAAUUAAAAACUUUUAUUAUUAAUUAGAAUGUGGUGUAUAAAUGAUUGUAAGAAUCCGGAGUUGGUCAUUUGUGUGUGCCGUACGAGUUAGCAUGGUUAGUGGGGUACAGGAUUUUGGCUAAAGGCAUUUAGCUUUUGUCACAGUGGUAUACGAGGAUACAGUAGGACUACGGUUAAGGACUGGGCCUAUCCUGGCGUCUGGACGCCACGUGGUCGGACGAUAUUUCAUAGAUAUAGUUUGAAUUCCGUCACGGAGUAAACAGGGAUACUGGUGCACAUAAUUAUUGUAAUUUGGAUUCUGUGUAGUGGUAAUAUAACUUGAUCAAAUAUUGCAGUGACAUGUCGACAAACCGUGAUCCAAAAGGAAAGUGUGGUGUGAAAUUCCCCGAAUUUGGUACUUUUUCUCUUCGUGAUGGAGGAUUGGGAACUGAUAUAAUAAACCCCUGAUAAUAAAGGACCUGAUAGUGAGCAAGUAUAAAUUGAAAUUAGAUUCACCGUGGAUUACGAUGUAAGAACAAAAUAAUAUCUUAUCUGCCGCGGAUAUAGAAACUAGUGAAGUGUUCCCUACAAUGUAUGAAGGAUGAAGUAUUUUUUAUUUGUCUUCUAAUAUAAAAAAUACUUGAAAACAAGAGAGUGAAAAGCAAUUUUUUAUUUGUUUAAAAAAAAUAAAUAUGGUGGUUGACUA
Long non-coding RNA from Lineus longissimus, 706 nucleotides. RefSeq lists it as uncharacterized. The transcript is spliced from 2 exons. Lineage: Eukaryota; Metazoa; Nemertea; Pilidiophora; Heteronemertea; Lineidae. The record is from RefSeq and is a predicted model, not a curated record.